This 495-nucleotide ribosomal RNA is filed under the name uncultured bacterium. RNAcentral's name for it is "partial 16S ribosomal RNA". It matches the Rfam family "Bacterial small subunit ribosomal RNA", at positions 28 to 507 of the family's 1533-position model. The record is from RNAcentral.
GACGAACGCUGGCGGCGUGCCUAAUACAUGCAAGUAGAACGCUGAAGGAGGAGCUUGCUUCUCUGGAUGAGUUGCGAACGGGUGAGUAACGCGUAGGUAACCUGCCUGGUAGCGGGGGAUAACUAUUGGAAACGAUAGCUAAUACCGCAUAAGAGUAGAUGUUGCAUGACAUUUACUUAAAAGGUGCAAUUGCAUCACUACCAGAUGGACCUGCGUUGUAUUAGCUAGUUGGUGAGGUAACGGCUCACCAAGGCAACGAUACAUAGCCGACCUGAGAGGGUGAUCGGCCACACUGGGACUGAGACACGGCCCAGACUCCUACGGGAGGCAGCAGUAGGGAAUCUUCGGCAAUGGACGGAAGUCUGACCGAGCAACGCCGCGUGAGUGAAGAAGGGUUUCGGAUCGUAAAGCUCUGUUGUAAGAGAAGAACGAGUGUGAGAGUGGAAAGUUCACACUGUGACGGUAGCUUACCAGAAAGGGACGGCUAACUACGUG